UUACACAUGCAAGUCGAGCGCGAAAGGCCGUUCGAGGGUACUCGAGCGGCGAACGGGUGAGUAACACGUGAGUAACCUGCCCCGUGUACUCUGGGAUAAGCCUGGGAAACCGGGUCUAAUACCGGAUACGACCAUUUCUCGCAUGUGAUGGUGGUGGAAAGUUUUUUCGGUUGGGGAUGGACUCGCGGCCUAUCAGCUUGUUGGUGGGGUGAUGGCCUACCAAGGCGACGACGGGUAGCCGGCCUGAGAGGGCGACCGGCCACACUGGGACUGAGACACGGCCCAGACUCCUACGGGAGGCAGCAGUGGGGAAUAUUGCGCAAUGGGCGGAAGCCUGACGCACCGACCCCGCGUGGGGGAUGACGGCCUUCGGUUGUAAACCUCUUUCAGCAGGGACGAAGUUGACGUGUACCUGUAGAAGAAGCGCCGGCUAACUACGUGCCAGCAGCCGCGGUAAUACGUAGGGCGCAAGCGUUGUCCGGAAUUAUUGGGCGUAAAGAGCUCGUAGGUGGCUUGUCGCGUCUGCCGUGAAAGCCCGUGGCUUAACUACGGGUCUGCGGUGGAUACGGCAGGCUAGAGGCUGGUAGGGGCAAGCGGAAUUCCUGGUGUAGCGGUGAAAUGCGCAGAUAUUCAGGAGGAAUCACCGGUGGCGAAGGCGGCUUAGCUGGGUCCAGUUCUGAGCGCUGAGGA
Molecule: ribosomal RNA, 690 nt
Filed under: Microbispora sp. LGMB257
Lineage: Bacteria; Bacillati; Actinomycetota; Actinomycetes; Streptosporangiales; Streptosporangiaceae
Description: bacterial SSU rRNA
Rfam family: Bacterial small subunit ribosomal RNA
Source: RNAcentral